UACGGAGGGGGCUAGCGUUGUUCGGAAUUACUGGGCGUAAAGCGCACGUAGGCGGACUGUUAAGCCGGGGGUGAAAUCCUGGGGCUCAACCUCAGAAUUGCCUCCGAUACUGGCAGUCUCGAGUGCGGGAGAGGUGAGUGGAAUUCCCAGUGUAGAGGUGAAAUUCGUAGAUAUUGGGAAGAACACCAGUGGCGAAGGCGGCUCACUGGCCCGUAACUGACGCUGAGGUGCGAAAGCGUGGGGAGCAAACAGG
RNAcentral lists this ribosomal RNA (253 nucleotides) under uncultured bacterium. RNAcentral describes it as "partial 16S ribosomal RNA". It matches the Rfam family "Bacterial small subunit ribosomal RNA", at positions 524 to 776 of the family's 1533-position model. The record is from RNAcentral.